RNAcentral lists this ribosomal RNA (229 nucleotides) under uncultured bacterium. RNAcentral describes it as "partial 16S ribosomal RNA". It matches the Rfam family "Bacterial small subunit ribosomal RNA", at positions 568 to 796 of the family's 1533-position model. The record is from RNAcentral.
UGCGCAGGUGGCGAUGUAAGUCAGUGGUGAAAGGCUGCCGCUUAACGGUAGGAUUGCCAUUGAUACUGCAUUGCUUGAGUAUGGUUGAGGUAGGCGGAAUGUGUGGUGUAGCGGUGAAAUGCAUAGAUAUCACACAGAACACCGAUUGCGAAGGCAGCUUACUAAGCCAUUACUGACGCUGAGGCACGAAAGCGUGGGUAGCGAACAGGAUUAGAUACCCUGGUAGUCC